GAUGAAGAACGCAGCGAAAUGCGAUAAGUAAUGUGAAUUGCAGAAUUCAGUGAAUCAUCGAAUCUUUGAACGCACAUUGCGCCCGCUAGUAUUCUGGCGGGCAUGCCUGUCCGAGCGUCAUUUCAGCCCUCAAGCCCCCGGGCUUGGUGUUGGGGAUCGGCGAGCCUCCGCGCCCGCCGUCCCCUAAAUCUAGUGGCGGUCUCGCUGUAGCUUCCUCUGCGUAGUAGCACACCUCGCACUGGGAAACAGCGCGGCCACGCCGUUAAACCCCCAACUUCUGAACGUUUGACCUCGGAUCAGGUAGGAAUACCCGCUGAACUUAAGCAUAUCAAUAAGCGGAGGA
RNAcentral lists this unclassified non-coding RNA (343 nucleotides) under soil metagenome. Its description in RNAcentral is "partial contains 5.8S ribosomal RNA, internal transcribed spacer 2, and large subunit ribosomal RNA". The stretch from base 1 to 120 matches the Rfam family "5.8S ribosomal RNA", at positions 35 to 154 of the family's 154-position model. The record is from RNAcentral.